GCUUAACUGCUCGUUAAGACUUAUCGUUUACUAAAAAGGCGUGUCCAGGUUUCUGGAUGCCGAGUGGCUUCCUUCCACUCUGUUUGACGCCUCCCUGUUAUUCCUCCGAGCCGCCCCAGGGCGGCUCUUUUUU
This 133-nucleotide small RNA is filed under the name Microvirga massiliensis. Its description in RNAcentral is "Alphaproteobacterial sRNA BjrC1505". It matches the Rfam family "Alphaproteobacterial sRNA BjrC1505". Lineage: Bacteria; Pseudomonadati; Pseudomonadota; Alphaproteobacteria; Hyphomicrobiales; Methylobacteriaceae. The record is from RNAcentral.